GAUGAACGCUGGCGGCGCGCCUAAUACGUGCAAGUCGAGCGAACAGACGAGGAGCUUGCUCCUCUGACGUUAGCGGCGGACGGGUGAGUAACACGUGGAUAACCUACCUAUAAGACUGGGAUAACUUCGGGAAACCGGAGCUAAUACCGGAUAAUAUAUUGAACCGCAUGGUUCAAUAGUGAAAGACGGUUUUGCUGUCACUUAUAGAUGGAUCCGCGCCGCAUUAGCUAGUUGGUAAGGUAACGGCUUACCAAGGCAACGAUGCGUAGCCGACCUGAGAGGGUGAUCGGCCACACUGGAACUGAGACACGGUCCAGACUCCUACGGGAGGCAGCAGUAGGGAAUCUUCCGCAAUGGGCGAAAGCCUGACGGAGCAACGCCGCGUGAGUGAUGAAGGUCUUCGGAUCGUAAAACUCUGUUAUUAGGGAAGAACAAAUGUGUAAGUAACUAUGCACGUCUUGACGGUACCUAAUCAGAAAGCCACGGCUAACUACGUG
This 497-nucleotide ribosomal RNA is filed under the name uncultured bacterium. RNAcentral describes it as "partial 16S ribosomal RNA". It matches the Rfam family "Bacterial small subunit ribosomal RNA", at positions 28 to 507 of the family's 1533-position model. The record is from RNAcentral.